Molecule: RNA transcript, 2327 nt
Organism: Varroa destructor (honeybee mite)
Lineage: Eukaryota; Metazoa; Arthropoda; Arachnida; Mesostigmata; Varroidae
Source: RefSeq, a predicted model, not a curated record
CUGUCUCUGUUGAAACAAGAUGUGCAAACGCGUGUGGCAGGAUCUAACGACCUUCUGAGCCUGGCUAAAGCGAGAAUAACCACACGCUCCUUGCAGUAAAAAAGGACAUCCAACAUGACGGAUGACGGAGAAGUUUAUGGAAAUUGGAAAACGAAGAUAUCAUUGGGGGAGCCAAUCGAGGGAGUACCUUCAAUGCUAAUGAAGUUUCUGCAAAGCUAAAUGAGGAUGUUGCCUUCGUCACUUCGCCAUCAAGGGCCACUUCAACUUCACAACGCAAGAUCUACGUAGCAGAUCUACACAUCUUCCACCUUGUGAGCACUAUACUAGCUACAGGCUGUACAAGAAGCGACAUAUUAUGGGAGAAAAGUGAGUGUACAAGAGAGGCCAGUUUACAACAACGGCACGCCAAAAAGGGCACAAGCUUUAGGCAGGCGAAGAAGGAGGGCGAGGGGACUUCUACUGGGAGGCAAACACACGUCAGAACUCUUCAGCGCAAGAGCACAAGCGAUCGAUGCGACCCCGUUAAAGCGAAAGAUUUCAAGAGCACAUAGGGAGAGUAAAUUGUAGCAGAGAACAAGCUACUGUGUACUAUGUGCAAACUAUAGCGGCUCAUAGAGCACAGCCAAGCAGCUAGAAAGCAAUGGCUAUAAUAAUACAAUUUAUCUAAUGUAUUGCAUGCAUUGUGGCUUACACUGUUACGGUGCUAGAGUGAUAAUGCGUUCGACUAUAGGCGAUAGCUCUCUUCAGUCAUUCUUUGGUCAUUGGCUCAAUAGCGAGCUAAAUGUAUUUUGCAUUUCGCUUUGUUACACCGUUUACUGGACGCUACUGGCGGCGCUCGCUUCUACGCAAGCCCAAGUUCAAGGCAGCGAAGCGUUAGAGUUAAACUUAUGUUUCGAUCCGAGAUACCCCUGGAACGGUGGCAGCAGCGACAGCGGCGCCGCCGCCGCCACCGCCGCCGCCGCCGCUGCUGCUGCUUUUGUCGCUGUCGUCGUCUUCGGUGUUCACACAGUGCACUGCCACUGUCCCCUGCUAACUCUAAAGAUCGAUUUCGAAACGCUCGAAGAACCAAAGCAGAAGUCAGAAACGAAGGGGGGAGUGUGGCGUCGACGACAUCGUCAUGAUUUCGCCGGUCCUGACCGCGGCUACUGCAUUCUACCAAACAGAGGACGACGCAAGUGCCCUGAUGGGGUCGUCGAGUCGCAUUAGAAUCAGCUAGAUAGACCGCAUAGACUGUGCGUAGCAAAAAUGAACAAGAAGCGGUCGUAAUGACGGCGCUAGCGUGACCAGUCUGUGACAGUGAUGCACUGUAGCAGAUCGUCGCUGUUUACUGUUUGUCAUCGCAUUGUAGUUUCAAGUACAGACCCGAUGGCGCCGCAAGAGGCUGCAGUUCUGUCGAGAACGAGCGGCCAGACCCUCCAGUUCUAUUAUGUCAGAAAACCGAGAAGAGGCCAAGGGAGAGAGCAAACGGUUCGAGAAAUGGACGAAUAAGUGAAUGAAUUAGAUGAGAUCGAACAGAUAUUGGAGGAUGCACCGCCACAAGAGCUAAGCGGCUCAGUGCUUAGCCGCCGGUGACGCCGAUUCCGAUUGGCCAAAGCCGGGACAAGUGCUGGAUAUGAUCCGCGACCAUCAAUAGAUUGUCAUCUUCUGAUGACGACUGAAUGUAGCGCUUUGCGAAAGAAAUAGCAAUAACAGUCAAUAAAAGAGAGCAACUUCCGUCACUAGGAAGGAACAAUGCAAAAUAACCACGGUGCGAAUACCCCAUGGUUCUUUGCUGUAUUUUCGGCAUACGAGCAUACCAGGUAAAGAGCCGAUUGCUUUUGUGUAUACUGGGAAUGUCUACCAAGUGUUGCUAGGCGAGUGGAACGUACAUUUCCUCCAGGCCCAAGGUACCCUAGGGGUUAUAUCGAUUAGUUUCCUAAUGCAUCUAAAGCCUAACCAGCCGGCCAAGACAUGCCUUAUCAGCAGAUAAGUAUGUGUUUUUUUUGAGGUUUAUAACGCGAGAGGCUUAAGUUACAUCCGGACUAUCUGGGACAACGGAAAACAUGAACAAUGACCACCAACCACAAGGCUCCGGAACUUAACGUUCUAAUUUUUGGAUUCUCACAGAUGUCUACGUUUCUUUGAAUGCACAUACAAAUCGCGCAAGUUUCAAUAAGCAGAGCUCAUCCUGGAAGCCAUAUUUGGAUUACCAAGGAUGGUAACAUAAUUGUAUUAGGAAAAUGGCGGCUUGCAUCAUAUAACGUAAGGAAAAAACUUUUAUUCAGAAACAUGUCUGUGGUUCCAUUGUCGAGGCGAACUGCACAAAAAGAGAAUUAUUAAAAUCUAAG